Bactrocera latifrons is the source of this 416-nucleotide long non-coding RNA. RefSeq lists it as uncharacterized. The record is from RefSeq and is a predicted model, not a curated record. The transcript has 3 exons. NCBI's taxonomy places the organism in Eukaryota, Metazoa, Arthropoda, Insecta, Diptera, Tephritidae.
UUAGUGCUUUCCACCAUUGACCAAAGCUGCGCUAUGCUUCUAUUUCACACAUAGUGCUUUCCACCAUACUAAACUUCUCCUCACUGCACUGACCAAAGCUGCGCUAUACGGCUAUAUAAGCAAGCACUUCACACCGAAUGCGAUCAUUUCUUACAGCUCGCCGAACAGGACGGUCAGACAGCAGAAAGCAAUAAUAGGCGGGGUACGCGACCGUAGUCUCCGUUGCGCUGCGAUACAGGGACAUCACAGCUGCGCUGCCUCGAACAGCGUCACGAUCGCAGCCCGCACACUAGUGCACCGACACAAUACCUGCGCUGCCUGGAACAGCGUCAGUACCCCUGCUUGCACACGAUAGUGCACCGUUACCUGACUAACGCGAUGAACAGGCGACUCGCAGGAGAUCCCGUAAACGCUGC